This 588-nucleotide ribosomal RNA is filed under the name alpha proteobacterium TH-N40. RNAcentral's name for it is "bacterial SSU rRNA". It matches the Rfam family "Bacterial small subunit ribosomal RNA", at positions 34 to 670 of the family's 1533-position model. Lineage: Bacteria; Pseudomonadati; Pseudomonadota; Alphaproteobacteria. The record is from RNAcentral.
CGCUGGCGGCAGGCUUAACACAUGCAAGUCGAACGCCCCGCAAGGGGAGUGGCAGACGGGUGAGUAACGCGUGGGAACAUACCCUUUCCUGCGGAAUAGCUCCGGGAAACUGGAAUUAAUACCGCAUACGCCCUACGGGGGAAAGAUUUAUCGGGGAAGGAUUGGCCCGCGUUGGAUUAGCUAGUUGGUGGGGUAAAGGCCUACCAAGGCGACGAUCCAUAGCUGGUCUGAGAGGAUGAUCAGCCACAUUGGGACUGAGACACGGCCCAAACUCCUACGGGAGGCAGCAGUGGGGAAUAUUGGACAAUGGGCGCAAGCCUGAUCCAGCCAUGCCGCGUGAGUGAUGAAGGCCUUAGGGUUGUAAAGCUCUUUCACCGGAGAAGAUAAUGACGGUAUCCGGAGAAGAAGCCCCGGCUAACUUCGUGCCAGCAGCCGCGGUAAUACGAAGGGGGCUAGCGUUGUUCGGAAUUACUGGGCGUAAAGCGCACGUAGGCGGAUAUUUAAGUCAGGGGUGAAAUCCCAGAGCUCAACUCUGGAACUGCCUUUGAUACUGGGUAUCUUGAGUAUGGAAGAGGUAAGUGGAAUUCC